AUAGUUAGUUUAUAAUUGAUUUGCAAUCGAUUGAUAUGAGAAUUUCAUACUGAAUA
RNAcentral lists this transfer RNA (56 nucleotides) under Heteropoda venatoria (giant crab spider). RNAcentral describes it as "tRNA-Ala". Lineage: Eukaryota; Metazoa; Arthropoda; Arachnida; Araneae; Sparassidae. The record is from RNAcentral.